AUACGGAGGGUGCAAGCGUUAAUCGGAAUUACUGGGCGUAAAGAGUACGUAGGUGGUUUAUUAAGUCAGAUGUGAAAGCCCCGGGCUUAACCUGGGAACUGCAUUUGAUACUGGCAAACUAGAGUAUGGUAGAGGCGGGUAGAAUUCCUAGUGUAGCGGUGAAAUGCGUAGAUAUUAGGAGGAAUACCAGUGGCGAAGGCGGCCCGCUGGACCAAUACUGACACUGAGGUACGAAAGCGUGGGUAGCGAACAGGAUUAGAAACCCCGGUAGUCC
RNAcentral lists this ribosomal RNA (274 nucleotides) under uncultured bacterium. RNAcentral describes it as "partial 16S ribosomal RNA". It matches the Rfam family "Bacterial small subunit ribosomal RNA", at positions 523 to 796 of the family's 1533-position model. The record is from RNAcentral.